RNAcentral lists this non-coding RNA (23 nucleotides) under Arabidopsis thaliana (thale cress). The record is from RNAcentral. Lineage: Eukaryota; Viridiplantae; Streptophyta; Magnoliopsida; Brassicales; Brassicaceae.
CAUAUCCAAGGGUGAAGAGCUCU